Mytilus californianus (California mussel) is the source of this 205-nucleotide long non-coding RNA. RefSeq lists it as uncharacterized. The record is from RefSeq and is a predicted model, not a curated record. NCBI's taxonomy places the organism in Eukaryota, Metazoa, Mollusca, Bivalvia, Mytilida, Mytilidae. The transcript has 3 exons.
CAUCAGCUGAUCGGGCACCUUGUCAUGAGUGUCUUAUCACGUAAACACACGUUUCAAAGAUGGAUAUUGCUAUUAUUUUGAGAAAGAUUAUCACUACACAUUAGAAUGAAAUUUCUAAUACCCAGAGAAAACAUAGUUUCCACAAUGCCAAACAAGAGGUCUCCAAAAUCACUUUGGUGACUUGUAAGCAAUGGUAUUAUACCAC